Molecule: ribosomal RNA, 452 nt
Filed under: uncultured bacterium
Lineage: Bacteria
Description: bacterial SSU rRNA
Rfam family: Bacterial small subunit ribosomal RNA
Source: RNAcentral
UUACCAGACUCCUACGGGAGGCAGCAGUAGGGAAUUUUGCGCAAUGGGCGAAAGCCUGACGCAGCAACGCCGCGUGAUCGAGACGCCCUUCGGGGUGUAAAGAUCUGUCAGUGGGGACGAAACUUGACGGUACCUGACUAAGAAGCCCCGGCUAACUACGUGCCAGCAGCCGCGGUCAUACGUAGGAUCCGAGCAUUAUCCGGAGUGACUGGGUGUAAAGAGUUGCGUAGGUGGCAUAAUAAGUAGCUAGUGAAAUCUGGUGGCUCAACCAUUCAGACUAUUAGCUAAACUGUUAAGCUCGAGACCGUUAGGGGUAACUGGAAUUUCUAGUGUAGGGGUGAAAUCCGUAGAUAUUAGAAGGAACACCAAUAGCGUAGGCAGGUUGCUGGGACGGUUCUGACACUAAGGCACGAAAGCGUAGGGAGCAAACGGGAUUAGAUACCCUAGUAGCC